GAUCUAGCAGUGGGGAAUCUUGGACAAUGGGCGCAAGCCUGAUCCAGCCAUGCCGCGUGAGUGAUGAAGGCCCUAGGGUCGUAAAGCUCUUUCGCCAGGGAUGAUAAUGACAGUACCUGGUAAAGAAACCCCGGCUAACUCCGUGCCAGCAGCCGCGGUAAUACGGAGGGGGUUAGCGUUGUUCGGAAUUACUGGGCGUAAAGCGCACGUAGGCGGAUCGGAAAGUUGGGGGCGAAAUCCCGGGGCUCAACCCCGGAACUGCCUCCAAAACUAUCGGUCUAGAGUUCGAGAGAGGUGAGUGGAAUUCCGAGUGUAGAGGUGAAAUUCGUAGAUAUUCGGAGGAACACCAGUGGCGAAAGCGACA
Molecule: ribosomal RNA, 364 nt
Filed under: uncultured Alphaproteobacteria bacterium
Lineage: Bacteria; Pseudomonadati; Pseudomonadota; Alphaproteobacteria
Description: bacterial SSU rRNA
Rfam family: Bacterial small subunit ribosomal RNA
Source: RNAcentral